GAGUAAAGAUUUCGGUCGCUUUGGGAGGAGCUCGCUUACUAUCAGCUUGUUGGUAGGGUAAUGGCCUACCAAGGCUAUGACGGUUAGGGGGUGUGAGAGCAUGACCCCCAGCAUUGGCACUGAAACACUGGCCAAACACCUACGGGUGGCUGCAGUCGAGAAUCUUCCACAAUGGGGGAAACCCUGAUGGAGCGAUGCUGCGUGCGGGAUGAAGGCCUUCGGGUUGUAAACCGCUUUUGUAGGGGACGAAAUUUUUGACGGUACCCUUUCGAAUAAGAGGUUGCUAACUCUGUGCCAGCAGCAGCGGUAAUACAGAGACCUCAAGCGUUAUCCGGAUUUACUGGGCGUAAAGCGUCUGUAGGGGGUUUAUUAAGUUCCAAGUAAAAUUUCAAGGCUCAACUUUGAAUUCGCUUGGAAAACUAAUAAACUGGAGUCUAGCAGAGGUGCAUGGAACUUGUGGUGUAGGAGUGAAAUCCGUUGAUAUCACAAGGAACACCAAAGGCGAAGGCAUUGCACUGGGCUAGCACUGACCCUGAGAGACGAAAGCGUGGGGAGCAAAACGGAUUAGAUACCCGUGUAGUCCACGCCCUAAACGAUGAAUGCUAAAUGUUCGGGGGUUCGACCCCCUGGGUGUUACAGCUAACGCGUUAAGCAUUCCACCUGGGAAGUACGGCCGCAAGGCUAAAACUCAAAGGAAUAGACGGGGAUCCGCACAAGCGGUGGAGCGUCUGGUUUAAUUCGACAGUAAGCGUGGUACCUCACCAGGGUUUGACAUCCCUUGACAGCAUUGGAAACAAGGUUUCCUUCGGGCAAGGUGACAGGUGCUGCAUGGUCGUCGUCAGUUCGUGCCGUGAGGUGUUCCGUUAAGUCGGGAAACGAACGAAACCCCUAUUGCAUGUUACAGUUUCUCAUGCAAGACUGCCCGGAUAUACUGGGAGGAAGGUGGGGAUGACGUCAGAUCUGCAUGGUCCUUAUACCCUGGGCGACACAGGCGCUACAAUGGCAGAGACAAAGGGUUGCAAAACCGCAAGGUGAAGCUAAUCCCAAAAACUUUGUCUAAGUUCGGAUUGAAGGCUGCAAUUCGCCUUCAUGAAGCUGGAAUCGCUAGUAAUCGUGAAUCAGCCACGUCACGGUGAAUAUGUUCCCGGAUCUUGUACUCACCGCCCGUCACACCAAGAGAGUUGGUAGCUCCCGAAG
Molecule: ribosomal RNA, 1197 nt
Filed under: uncultured organism
Description: bacterial SSU rRNA
Rfam family: Bacterial small subunit ribosomal RNA
Source: RNAcentral